GAGGGUGCGAGCGUUGUCCGGAAUCACUGGGCGUAAAGGGCGCGUAGGUGGCCUGGUAAGUAGGGGGUGAAAUCUCGAGGCUCAACUUCGAGGCUGCCUCCUAAACUGUCGGGCUUGAGCAGAGUAGAGGCAGGUGGAAUUCCCGGUGUAGCGGUGGAAUGCGUAGAGAUCGGGAAGAACAUCGGUGGCGAAGGCGGCCUGCUGGGCUCUUGCUGACACUGAGGCGCGACAGCGUGGGGAGCAAACAGGAUUAGAUACCCUGGUAGUCCACGCCGUAAACGAUGGGUACUAGGCGCCGGGGGGAGCGACCCCUUCGGUGCCGUCGCUAACGCAAUAAGUACCCCGCCUGGGGAGUACGGCCGCAAGGCUG
This 370-nucleotide ribosomal RNA is filed under the name uncultured organism. RNAcentral describes it as "bacterial SSU rRNA". It matches the Rfam family "Bacterial small subunit ribosomal RNA", at positions 528 to 896 of the family's 1533-position model. The record is from RNAcentral.